RNAcentral lists this ribosomal RNA (465 nucleotides) under Vreelandella stevensii. RNAcentral describes it as "partial 16S ribosomal RNA". It matches the Rfam family "Bacterial small subunit ribosomal RNA", at positions 338 to 795 of the family's 1533-position model. The record is from RNAcentral. Lineage: Bacteria; Pseudomonadati; Pseudomonadota; Gammaproteobacteria; Oceanospirillales; Halomonadaceae.
CCUACGGGAGGCUGCAGUGGGGAAUAUUGGACAAUGGGCGAAAGCCUGAUCCAGCCAUGCCGCGUGUGUGAAGAAGGCCUUCGGGUUGUAAAGCACUUUCAGUGGGGAAGAAAGCCUUGGGGCUAAUACCCUCGAGGAAGGACAUCACCCACAGAAGAAGCACCGGCUAACUCCGUGCCAGCAGCCGCGGUAAUACGGAGGGUGCGAGCGUUAAUCGGAAUUACUGGGCGUAAAGCGCGCGUAGGCGGUCUGAUAAGCCGGUUGUGAAAGCCCCGGGCUCAACCUGGGAACGGCAUCCGGAACUGUCAGGCUAGAGUGCAGGAGAGGAAGGUAGAAUUCCCGGUGUAGCGGUGAAAUGCGUAGAGAUCGGGAGGAAUACCAGUGGCGAAGGCGGCCUUCUGGACUGACACUGACGCUGAGGUGCGAAAGCGUGGGUAGCAAACAGGAUUAGAUACCCCGGUAGUC